This 232-nucleotide unclassified non-coding RNA is filed under the name uncultured fungus. Its description in RNAcentral is "sequence contains ITS1". The record is from RNAcentral. Lineage: Eukaryota; Fungi.
GUCUUUUGUUUGUGUAGAGUCGGCAUGACGCCUUCUCAGUUUAUGCGUUCAAGAAAUCAAAAGCUUUUUUGGAGUUAAAAUAAGGGCGGGCAAAGGCUUGCGCCUUCCCCCGGCCCCCGGCCCCAAGCAGGCGAACCGGCCUGGAGCAACUGUUCACACGUAAAAGAGGGUAUGGUGUGGUAUGAUAUUUAGAGGUUCAAUGAUGAUCCUUCCGCAGGUUCACCUACGGAAA